Molecule: transfer RNA, 68 nt
Filed under: Ictidomys tridecemlineatus (thirteen-lined ground squirrel)
Lineage: Eukaryota; Metazoa; Chordata; Mammalia; Rodentia; Sciuridae
Description: Spermophilus tridecemlineatus (thirteen-lined ground squirrel) tRNA
Rfam family: tRNA
About the family: Transfer RNA (tRNA) molecules are approximately 80 nucleotides in length. Their secondary structure includes four short double-helical elements and three loops (D, anti-codon, and T loops).
Source: Rfam by way of RNAcentral
GGUGUUGUAGCUCAGUGGUAGAGGUCUUGCCCAGCAAGCAUGAGGACUGGGUUCGAUCCUCAGCACCA